UAUUCCUGUACCACCUAUAAUCGUUUUAAUCGAUGGGGGGACGCAGUAGGAUAGGCGAAGCGUGCGAUUGGAUUGCACGUCUAAGCAGUAAGGCUGAGUAUUAGGCAAAUCCGGUACUCGUUAAGGCUGAGCUGUGAUGGGGAGAAGACAUUGUGUCUUCGAGUCGUUGAUUUCACACUGCCGAGAAAAGCCUCUAGAUAGAAAAUAGGUGCCCGUACCGCAAACCGACACAGGUAGUCAAGAUGAGAAUUCUAAGGUGAGCGAGCGAACUCUCGUUAAGGAACUCGGCAAAAUGACCCCGUAACUUCGGGAGAAGGGGUGCUCUUUAGGGUUAACGCCCAGAAGAGCCGCAGUGAAUAGGCCCAAGCGACUGUUUAUCAAAAACACAGGUCUCUGCUAAACCGUAAGGUGAUGUAUAGGGGCUGACGCCUGCCCGGUGCUGGAAG
This 446-nucleotide ribosomal RNA is filed under the name Staphylococcus aureus. RNAcentral's name for it is "partial 23S ribosomal RNA". It matches the Rfam family "Bacterial large subunit ribosomal RNA", at positions 1434 to 1875 of the family's 2925-position model. Lineage: Bacteria; Bacillati; Bacillota; Bacilli; Caryophanales; Staphylococcaceae. The record is from RNAcentral.